ACCCGUGAUCGUGAAGGUCGCAGCCUGAUUAUGCCAGCAUUGAAGCGGUGAUAACUUCAGGGUAAAACAUGGAAAUUCAGCCAUGACGGCUAUGAUAAUGCUAUUCUUUUAACAAGAGUUGACUGAAUGGAAGAUUAACUCAUCUACAGUAGCAACCCAGAGCACGAAAUGAAUCCCAGAAGAGGAAGUCAUCAAGACAGUCCUGCCCUAUCAUGCCAUCAUUUGAGGCCUUGUGACACUCAGUAACUGGAAUUCUGCCAGAGUGAGGCGUCUGCGUGGAUUGGAGGUGAGGCCCCAGCACGUGGAUAAGCGGCAAGUCCCCAACAUGGACUGCAGGCGAGACCCUGGUACAAAAUGGAGACAAUGUCCUGUUGUGGCCCCGUCCAGCGCAGACUGACUGGGAUGGGAGGACUGUAAAUUAUACACUGUUUGUUUCUUGAUUUUUCUAUUUUAUUCCUAUGCUGCACUUUUUAUUGCUUUGUUUUGUAUUUUAUAUCAAAGAAUCUGUACUUGAUCAUGUGUAUCUGUGUAAAUCUGUAUGUAAGAUGGCGCCAUAAGUGGUGACUUGUAAAUUUUUCAUUGAACUUAUGUGAGUGUUUGUGACAAUAAAGCUAUACCUAAUUCUAGAUUACAGACAUGGGAUCACUGCAACACUUCAAAAGAGUGUUCAGCCCUGCCUAAUGCUUCUUAUAAUAAGCUUAGCAACCAUAGUAACAUCAUCGCCAGCAUCUCAUCCAUCAUUUACUAUUUCCUGCAUAUUGUGACAAUGUUUCAAAGUUAGAAAGAUGUGACACAAUUGAGAGUGGUGAUUAUUAAAUUAAUAGAUUGUAUUGAAAACAUGUUCCAUUGGGGAAUAAAGACAUGAGGGGACGAGGCAAGAAAUCCGAUGUGAGCAAGGUAUAGAAGUCAUUGGCUUGAUAUUGCACGUCAGACAAGACAAUACAUAUGGAUUUCUCGGUAUACUUCACCUCAAAUAGAAU
Non-coding RNA from Chiloscyllium plagiosum (whitespotted bambooshark), 980 nucleotides. The record is from RefSeq and is a predicted model, not a curated record. Lineage: Eukaryota; Metazoa; Chordata; Chondrichthyes; Orectolobiformes; Hemiscylliidae.